RNAcentral lists this long non-coding RNA (402 nucleotides) under Physcomitrium patens. RNAcentral's name for it is "long non-coding RNA (PPAT_LNC012440)". Lineage: Eukaryota; Viridiplantae; Streptophyta; Bryopsida; Funariales; Funariaceae. The record is from RNAcentral.
UCUCCAUUCCUUGCCUUUGACCAAUAGGAAUGAAGUUCUCCAUUCCUUGCCUUCAUCCAACCAUGUCUUACUUUCAUCCUUUCCAAUAAGCCUCCUACUAGUUAAGAUUUUUAUAUUAGGGUCACACAAUUAACUGUCUCUUGAUUAACUAAAUCAACAAAGAAAGCUAUGAUGCCUUCCACAUUCUAUCAAAUAAAAUAUUAUAAUCAAAAUUCUAUCUUAUGAAUUUACUGUCUCUUCUCUUCUCCUAAAUUAUAACAAUAAUAUAUAGUAUUGUACUAUCAUAAAAGACUACAUAAAAUAUUUCAUAAUUCAAUCACUAGAAUUUUCUAAAAUUAAUUGUCAUUCCUAGUAAUCUGCUUCAUACAAUUCCAAACUCCAGAGACUUCUUCUUGUGGCACC